GACAGAUUUCUCAUCCGACCACUCACACGCCCUUAUACUCACACACUGGGUUGGGUCCAAUCCGCCAAUAAACUGAGCUCAUGCCCUUUGCUUGUACCAUCCACACCUGAUCCUGUGCCCUUCUUCUUGCCACAUUAGCUGUCAUGCCACCUGUUACUGUGCCGCCACAUCACCUGAUGCAGCCACAUCAAUAAUUUUGGCAAAACCCUUUCCUGAUAAUUUCAAUUAUUUGAUUCCAUUUUUGACAUCUGUACACUAGAACUUCU
Molecule: unclassified non-coding RNA, 266 nt
Filed under: Hevea brasiliensis (rubber tree)
Lineage: Eukaryota; Viridiplantae; Streptophyta; Magnoliopsida; Malpighiales; Euphorbiaceae
Source: RNAcentral